AUUGAACGCUGGCGGCAGGCUUAACACAUGCAAGUCGAGCGGUAACAGAGAGUAGCUUGCUACUUUGCUGACGAGCGGCGGACGGGUGAGUAAUGCUUGGGAAUAUGCCUUGUGGUGGGGGACAACAGUUGGAAACGACUGCUAAUACCGCAUAUGCCUUUAUCCCAUAAGGGAGCAAGGGAAAUAUUUAUAGCUCUAGGAUCGGCCUGUACGGUAUCAGUUUGUUGGUGAGGUAAUGGCUCACCAAGACUAUGACGCCUAACUGGUUUGAGAGGAUGAUCAGUCACACUGGAACUGAGACACGGCCCAG
This 310-nucleotide ribosomal RNA is filed under the name uncultured bacterium. Its description in RNAcentral is "bacterial SSU rRNA". It matches the Rfam family "Bacterial small subunit ribosomal RNA", at positions 30 to 334 of the family's 1533-position model. The record is from RNAcentral.